ACAGGUGCUGCAUGGCUGUCGUCAGCUCGUGUUGUGAAAUGUUGGGUUAAGUCCCGCAACGAGCGCAACCCUUAUCCUUUGUUGCCAGCGGUCCGGCCGGGAACUCAAAGGAGACUGCCAGUGAUAAACUGGAGGAAGGUGGGGAUGACGUCAAGUCAUCAUGGCCCUUACGAGUAGGGCUACACACGUGCUACAAUGGCGCAUACAAAGAGAAGCGACCUCGCGAGAGCAAGCGGACCUCAUAAAGUGCGUCGUAGUCCGGAUUGGAGUCUGCAACUCGACUCCAUGAAGUCGGAAUCGCUAGUAAUCGUAGAUCAGAAUGCUACGGUGAAUACGUUCCCGGGCCUUGUACAC
RNAcentral lists this ribosomal RNA (354 nucleotides) under Enterobacteriaceae bacterium 166F. RNAcentral's name for it is "bacterial SSU rRNA". It matches the Rfam family "Bacterial small subunit ribosomal RNA", at positions 1034 to 1388 of the family's 1533-position model. The record is from RNAcentral. Lineage: Bacteria; Pseudomonadati; Pseudomonadota; Gammaproteobacteria; Enterobacterales; Enterobacteriaceae.